AGCUCAGUGGUUAAAGCACUCGGCUGCUAACCAAAAUGUCGGUGGUUUGAACCCACC
Molecule: transfer RNA, 57 nt
Filed under: Loxodonta africana (African savanna elephant)
Lineage: Eukaryota; Metazoa; Chordata; Mammalia; Proboscidea; Elephantidae
Rfam family: tRNA
About the family: Transfer RNA (tRNA) molecules are approximately 80 nucleotides in length. Their secondary structure includes four short double-helical elements and three loops (D, anti-codon, and T loops).
Source: Rfam by way of RNAcentral